GACGAACGCUGGCGGCGUGCUUAACACAUGCAAGUCGAGCGGUAAGGCCCUUUCGGGGUACGACGAGCGGCGAACGGGUGAGUAACACGUGGGUGACCUGCCCUCAGCUCUGGGAUAAGCCUGGGAAACCGGGUCUAAUACUGGAUAUGACUCCAUGACGCAUGUUGUGGGGUGGAAAGCCUUGUGCGGCUGAGGAUGGGCCCGCGGCCUAUCAGCUUGUUGGUGGGGUGAGGCCUACCAAGGCGACGACGGGUAGCCGGCCUGAGAGGGCGACCGGCC
Molecule: ribosomal RNA, 279 nt
Filed under: uncultured bacterium
Lineage: Bacteria
Description: partial 16S ribosomal RNA
Rfam family: Bacterial small subunit ribosomal RNA
Source: RNAcentral